GUGACUGCGUACCUUUUGUAUAAUGGGUCAGCGACUUAUAUUCUGUAGCAAGGUUAACCGAAUAGGGGAGCCGAAGGGAAACCGAGUCUUAACUGGGCGUUAAGUUGCAGGGUAUAGACCCGAAACCCGGUGAUCUAGCCAUGGGCAGGUUGAAGGUUGGGUAACACUAACUGGAGGACCGAACCGACUAAUGUUGAAAAAUUAGCGGAUGACUUGUGGCUGGGGGUGAAAGGCCAAUCAAACCGGGAGAUAGCUGGUUCUCCCCGAAAGCUAUUUAGGUAGCGCCUCGUGAAUUCAUCUCCGGGGGUAGAGCACUGUUUCGGCAAGGGGGUCAUCCCGACUUACCAACCCGAUGCAAACUGCGAAUACCGGAGAAUGUUAUCACGGGAGACACACGGCGGGUGCUAACGUCCGUCGUGAAGAGGGAAACAACCCAGACCGCCAGCUAAGGUCCCAAAGUCAUGGUUAAGUGGGAAACGAUGUGGGAAGGCCCAGACAGCCAGGAUGUUGGCUUAGAAGCAGCCAUCAUUUAAAGAAAGCGUAAUAGCUCACUGGUCGAGUCGGCCUGCGCGGAAGAUGUAACGGGGCUAAACCAUGCACCGAAGCUGCGGCAGCGACGCUUAUGCGUUGUUGGGUAGGGGAGCGUUCUGUAAGCCUGUGAAGGUGUGCUGUGAGGCAUGCUGGAGGUAUCAGAAGUGCGAAUGCUGACAUAAGUAACGAUAAAGCGGGUGAAAAGCCCGCUCGCCGGAAGACCAAGGGUUCCUGUCCAACGUUAAUCGGGGCAGGGUGAGUCGACCCCUAAGGCGAGGCCGAAAGGCGUAGUCGAUGGGAAACAGGUUAAUAUUCCUGUACUUGGUGUUACUGCGAAGGGGGGACGGAGAAGGCUAUGUUGGCCGGGCGACGGUUGUCCCGGUUUAAGCGUGUAGGCUGGUUUUCCAGGCAAAUCCGGAAAAUCAAGGCUGAGGCGUGAUGACGAGGCACUACGGUGCUGAAGCAACAAAUGCCCUGCUUCCAGGAAAAGCCUCUAAGCAUCAGGUAACAUCAAAUCGUACCCCAAACCGACACAGGUGGUCAGGUAGAGAAUACCAAGGCGCUUGAGAGAACUCGGGUGAAGGAACUAGGCAAAAUGGUGCCGUAACUUCGGGAGAAGGCACGCUGAUAUGUAGGUGAAGUCCCUCGCGGAUGGAGCUGAAAUCAGUCGAAGAUACCAGCUGGCUGCAACUGUUUAUUAAAAACACAGCACUGUGCAAACACGAAAGUGGACGUAUACGGUGUGACGCCUGCCCGGUGCCGGAAGGUUAAUUGAUGGGGUUAGCGCAAGCGAAGCUCUUGAUCGAAGCCCCGGUAAACGGCGGCCGUAACUAUAACGGUCCUAAGGUAGCGAAAUUCCUUGUCGGGUAAGUUCCGACCUGCACGAAUGGCGUAAUGAUGGCCAGGCUGUCUCCACCCGAGACUCAGUGAAAUUGAACUCGCUGUGAAGAUGCAGUGUACCCGCGGCAAGACGGAAAGACCCCGUGAACCUUUACUAUAGCUUGACACUGAACAUUGAGCCUUGAUGUGUAGGAUAGGUGGGAGGCUUUGAAGUGUGGACGCCAGUCUGCAUGGAGCCGACCUUGAAAUACCACCCUUUAAUGUUUGAUGUUCUAACGUGGACCCGUAAUCCGGGUUGCGGACAGUGUCUGGUGGGUAGUUUGACUGGGGCGGUCUCCUCCUAAAGAGUAACGGAGGAGCACGAAGGUUGGCUAAUCCUGGUCGG
Molecule: ribosomal RNA, 1756 nt
Filed under: Escherichia coli
Lineage: Bacteria; Pseudomonadati; Pseudomonadota; Gammaproteobacteria; Enterobacterales; Enterobacteriaceae
Description: 23S ribosomal RNA
Rfam family: Bacterial large subunit ribosomal RNA
Source: RNAcentral